GACGAACGCUGGCGGCGUGCUUAACACAUGCAAGUCGAACGGAAAGGCCCUUCGGGGUACUCGAGUGGCGAACGGGUGAGUAACACGUGGGUGAUCUGCCCUGCACUUUGGGAUAAGCCUGGGAAACUGGGUCUAAUACCGGAUAGGACUACGCGAUGCAUGUCGUGUGGUGGAAAGCUUUUGCGGUGUGGGAUGGGCCCGUGGCCUAUCAGCUUCUUGGUGAGGUUAUGGCUUACCAAGGCGACGACGGGUAGCCGGCCUGAGAGGGUGACCGGCCACACUGGGACUGAGAUACGGCCCAGACUCCUACGGGAGGCAGCAGUGGGGAAAAUUGCACAAUGGGCGCAAGCCUGAUGCAGCGACGCCGCGUGAGGGAUGACGGCCUUCGGGUUGUAAACCUCUUUCAGUAGGGACGAAGCGCAAGUGACGGUACCUAUAGAAGAAGGACCGGCCAACUACGUGCCAGCCGCCGCUGUAA
Molecule: ribosomal RNA, 478 nt
Filed under: uncultured bacterium
Lineage: Bacteria
Description: partial 16S ribosomal RNA
Rfam family: Bacterial small subunit ribosomal RNA
Source: RNAcentral